GGUAAAGCGAAUGAUUAGAGGCCUUAGGAUCGAAACGAUCUUAACCUAUUCUCAAACUUUAAAUGGGUAAGAACCUCACCUUUCUUGAUAUGAAGGUUGUUGGUUGUGAUAUAUUGUGCCCAGUGGGCCACUUUUGGUAAGCAGAACUGGCGCUGUGGGAUGAACCAAACGUAAUGUUAAGGUGCCCAAAUUGACAACUCAUACAGAUACCAUGAAAGGCGUUGGUUGCUUAAAACAGCAGGACGGUGGACAUGGAAGUCGUAAUCCGCUAAGGAGUGUGUAACAACUCACCUGCCGAAGCAACUAGCCCUUAAAAUGGAUGGCGCUUAAGUUGUAUACCUAUACAUUACCGCUAAAGUAAAUGAUUUAUAUAUGCGAAAGUGUGUAUGAAUUUUAAAACUUUAGUGAGUAGGAGGGUAUAAUAAUGUGCAUGGAAGUGUUUGGCGUGAGCCUGCAUGGAGCCGUUAUUAGCACAGAUCUUGGUGGUAGUAGCAAAUAAUCGAAUGAGACCUUGGAGGACUGAAGUGGAGAAGGGUUUCGUGUGAACAGUGGUUGAUCWCGAGUUAGUCGGUCCUAAGUUCAAGGCGAAAGCUGAACAUUUUCAAGUAAAUAAAUAAAUAAAGCUUGUGCAAAAUGAAAUACUUGAAUUAUAUUGAACGAAAGGGAAUACGGUUCCAAUUCCGUAACCUGUUGAGUAUCCGUUUGUUAUUAAAUAUGGGCCUUGUGCUCAUCCUGGUAACAGGAACGACCAUAGAGAAGCCGUCGAGAGAUAUCGGAAGAGUUUUCUUUUCUGUUUUAUAAUCGUAUUACCAUGGAAGUCUUUCGAAGAGAGAUAUGGUAAAUGGAUUAGAAGAGCAUGACAUUUACUGUUGUGUCGAUAUUAUCUCCUCGGACCUUGAAAAUCUAUGGUGGGGUCACGCAAACUUCUCAACAGGCCGUACCGAUAUCCGCAGCUGGUCUCCAAGGUGAAGAGCCUCUAGUCGAUAGAAUAAUGUAGGUAAGGGAAGUCGGCAAAUUAGAUCCGUAACUUCGGGAUAAGGAUUGGCUCUGAAGAUUGAGAUAAUCGGGCUUGAUUGGGAAGCAAUAACAUGGUUUUACAUUCUCGUUCUGGGUAAAUUAGAGAUUACUUUUCUUCCUUUAAUCGGGUUGAAAGUAUCUUGUUCCCCGGAUAGUUUAGUUAUGUAACCAAUUGUGGAACUUUCUUGCUAAAAUUUUUAAGGGAUAUCAUUUGAGUUUGUGACUGUUUGGUCAUGCUUGAAUGUAUGGUUCCUUUUUAAUUAUAACGAUUAUCAAUUAACAAUCAAUUCAGAACUGGCACGGACUUGGGGAAUCCGACUGUCUAAUUAAAACAAAGCAUUGUGAUGGCCCUAACGGGUGUUGACACAAUGUGAUUUCUGCCCAGUGCUCUGAAUGUCAAAGUGAAGAAAUUCAAAUAAGCGCGGGUCAACGGCGGGAGUAACUAUGACUCUCUUAAGGUAGCCAAAUGCCUCGUCAUCUAAUUAGUGACGCGCAUGAAUGGAUUAACGAGAUUCCUACUGUCCCUAUCUACUAUCUAGCGAAACCACAGCCAAGGGAACGGNNNNNNNNNNNNNNNCGGGGAAAGAAGACCCUGUUGAGCUUGACUCUAAUCUGGCAGUGUAAGGAAACAUAAGAGGUGUAGAAUAAGUGGGAGAUUUAUAAGUUUCAAUAUUUAUCCUUCACCGGUUAAAUACUUAUUUAUCAACAAUGAAAUACCACUACUCUUAUUGUUUCCUUACUUACUUGAUUAAAUGGAACGUGUAUCAUUUUCUAGCCAUUAUACGGAUGGAUAGGCAUUAAAACCUAUUUAUCUUAUGGUAUUGGAUUUUGAUGCAAGCUUCUUGAACAAAAUGGCAUAGAGUUUGUUAUAUAAUUGUAAACAAAUAUUUUAAUGAAGUAAUUGCAAUAUGUCAUUUCUACAAACAGCUAUCGCAGUGCAUAUGUGUGUGUGCAUAUUAUAUUUGUUUCGGCAGAUAUAUUUGUGUGUGCAUGUAUGUUACGGGUAGUAUGAGUGUUAUGAUUAUAUUUGUUGAUUAUGUGUAAUUGAAAAUUUGGUAUAACACCCAACACUCAGCUAUGAUCCAAUUCAAGGACAUUGUCAGGUGGGGUGUUUGACUGGGGCGGUACAUCUCUCAAAUAAUAACGGAGGUGUCCCAAGGCCAGCUCAGUGCGGACAGAAACCACACAUAGAGCAAAAGGGCAAAUGCUGACUUGAUCUCGUUGUUCAGUACACAAAGAGACAGCAAAAGCUCGGCCUAUCGAUCCUUUUGGUUUAAGGAGUUUUUAGCAAGAGGUGUCAGAAAAGUUACCACAGGGGUAACUGGCUUGUGGCGGCCAAGCGUUCAUAGCGACGUCGCUUUUUGAUCYUUCGAUGUCGGCUCUUCCUAUCAUUGUGAAGCAAAAUUCACCAAGCGUUGGAUUGUUCACCCAUUCAAGGGAACGUGAGCUGGGUUUAGACCGUCGUGAGACAGGUUAGUUUUAUCCUCCUGAUGACUUAUAUAUUUAAAUAUUAUUGCGACAGCAUUCCUGCGUAGUACGAGAGGAACCGCAGGUACGGACUUAUGGUACAAUACUUGUUCGAGCGAACAGUGGUAUGACGCUACGUCCGUUGGAUUAUGCCUGAACGCCUCUAAGGUCGUAUCCGUGCUGGUCGGCAAUAAUAAAAAUGGAGCACAUGCAUUGUAUGGCAACGUAUAAACAAUUUUCAAGUUUAUAUACUCGCUAUAUAAACGAAGAAUUCAAUUGUGAUGCCAAUGACAUUUAUAACAUUGCUCAUAUGGGCUGGAUCUUAUCUACCUAUAGACUAUGCAAGUUGUAAAUCAAAUCAUUUCAAUGCAAUGGCAGUGCUUAGAAUCAAUUGUAU
This 2881-nucleotide ribosomal RNA is filed under the name Cyamops sp. ISW-2010. RNAcentral's name for it is "eukaryotic LSU rRNA". It matches the Rfam family "Eukaryotic large subunit ribosomal RNA", at positions 1007 to 3401 of the family's 3401-position model. Lineage: Eukaryota; Metazoa; Arthropoda; Insecta; Diptera; Periscelididae. The record is from RNAcentral.